UGUGCAUCAUUGAACUCAACCAAUGGGAUGG
This 31-nucleotide non-coding RNA is filed under the name Mus musculus (house mouse). The record is from RNAcentral. Lineage: Eukaryota; Metazoa; Chordata; Mammalia; Rodentia; Muridae.